Molecule: ribosomal RNA, 254 nt
Filed under: uncultured bacterium
Lineage: Bacteria
Description: partial 16S ribosomal RNA
Rfam family: Bacterial small subunit ribosomal RNA
Source: RNAcentral
UACGUAGGGUGCGAGCGUUUGUCCGGAAUUAUUGGGCGUAAAGGGCUCGUAGGCGGUUUGUCGCGUCGGGAGUGAAAUCCACUGGCUUAACUGGUGGCUUGCUUUCGAUACGGGCAGACUGGAGGUAUGCAGGGGAGAACGGAAUUCCUGGUGUAGCGGUGAAAUGCGCAGAUAUCAGGAGGAACACCGGUGGCGAAGGCGGUUCUCUGGGCCUGUACUGACGCUGAGGAGCGAAAGCGUGGGGAGCGAACAGG